AACGAACGCUGGCGGCAGGCCUAACACAUGCAAGUCGAGCGAGGACUUCGGUCCUAGCGGCGGACGGGUGAGUAACGCGUGGGAACGUGCCCUUUGCUUCGGAAUAGCCCUGGGAAACUGGGAGUAAUACCGGAUGAGCCCUUUGGGGGAAAGAUUUAUCGGCGAAGGAUCGGCCCGCGUUGGAUUAGGUAGUUGGUGGGGUAAUGGCCUACCAAGCCGACCAUCCAUAGCUGGUUUGAGAGGAUGAUCAGCCACACUGGGACUGAGACACGGCCCAGACUCCUACGGGAGGCAGCAGUGGGGAAUCUUAGAAAAUGGGGGAAACCCUGAUCUAGCCAUGCCGCGUGAGCGAUGAAGGCCUUAGGGUUGUAAAGCUCUUUCAGCUGGGAAGAUAAUGACGGUACCAGCAGAAGAAGCCCCGGCUAACUCCGUG
This 433-nucleotide ribosomal RNA is filed under the name uncultured bacterium. Its description in RNAcentral is "partial 16S ribosomal RNA". It matches the Rfam family "Bacterial small subunit ribosomal RNA", at positions 29 to 507 of the family's 1533-position model. The record is from RNAcentral.